GGCUCGGUAGUGGAUGGUCCACGUUUGCAUUACCUGUGCAGGUAAUUAGUGCUUGAAGGAGCUGGUUCAUGCAGAAAGUGCCCGUUCGAUUCGGGCCCGAGCCA
Non-coding RNA from Mycena capillaripes, 104 nucleotides. The record is from the annotation of a GenBank genome assembly. NCBI's taxonomy places the organism in Eukaryota, Fungi, Basidiomycota, Agaricomycetes, Agaricales, Mycenaceae.